Rosa rugosa (rugosa rose) is the source of this 1094-nucleotide long non-coding RNA. RefSeq lists it as uncharacterized. Lineage: Eukaryota; Viridiplantae; Streptophyta; Magnoliopsida; Rosales; Rosaceae. The record is from RefSeq and is a predicted model, not a curated record. The transcript has 2 exons.
GUUCCCCAUCUCUCUCCUCCGCCUCUGCAACAAUCAGAGACCGGCCUUUGGCCUUAUUUUCGACACCGCCACCACCAAGCGACGACGCAUAAUGCUGAUCAGAGUCCUCAAUCUCUUCCCCGACUCAGAUGCCAACAUCGUUUUCGGUGGAGAUUCGUCCCCCGUCGUUGAUGGGUAAUAGUUUAGGCCAUGUGUGAUUGUGACUGACUAAGUUGUUUCAUUGGUGAAAUUUGGGACUUUUGUGUAUUUUCAGAUCAAUCUAUGAAACUGUGUAGGUUGGAAUUAUGGGUUUGACAAUUGGAAACCUUUUAAGUUUCUUCUGGGUCCUAGUCUAGUAUAUUUGAUUUAUGUCUUGACAACCCAGGUAAUUCAUUUUCUCAUAAAUGGGUACUGUUUUCUAUCCCAAUUUCUUUCUAAUUGCUUGCUUGCCAUUGUUUUUGAGUAACUUAACCCUCAGUUUUUUUUUUUUCCUAUAUCCUUGAAAGUUAGAAUCUUUAUUCACUACAUUCUAAUAUGUAUUCAAGACUUUGUGUAAGAUGUAUGAAAUUGAUUGUUCUGAUGCAAUCAUUAAUCAAAAGGUAUAUAAUGAAUCAGCACACAUAUACAUACCCAUUGCAUAAAGAAAUAUACAUAUAUAUACGUACACCUAUGUAGUGAUAGUAUAUAUUUGCUUAUUUUACCUUAAAGUUUACAGUAAGCUAAGUAAGUUGGACUAAUUUUGUCUCAGGAUACAACUGAAACCAAACGGAAAAAUCCAAGACGGACCUUUAAAUCAGAGAAGGAGUUUAUAGAGUUCACUUUGAAGUAUCAACAAGUUAUUGCAAAGAGAGAUGGAGUUGGUUUUGCCUAUCUUGGCCUUUUUGGUGAGCAGUUUCCUAAAACAAUAGAAUUUCUUAGCCCUGUGCACAGGCAAGCGAACCAUCCUUCUCUGCUUUUCUAUCUUUUUUUUUUUUUUUUUUUGUGAAUUGGAUUUUCAUCUAGCUCAUCGCUUACUUAGUGGCUAGUGGAGUCCCUAGAAUAUUCAAGAUUGCUACUUACUUUACAAGUUUUACUAUGCAUAUAAGUAGCGCGCACAAGUCCUUAUUCAUUUUUCA